UAUCAAUAAGCGGAGGAAAAGAAACUAACAAGGAUUCCCCUAGUAACUGCGAGUGAAGCGGGAAAAGCUCAAAUUUAAAAUCUGGCAGUCUUUGGCUGUCCGAGUUGUAAUCUGGAGAAGUGUUUUCCGCGCUGGACCGUGUACAAGUCUCUUGGAACAGAGCGUCAUAGAGGGUGAGAAUCCCGUCUUUGACACGGACUACCAGUGCUUUGUGAUGCGCUUUCAAAGAGUCGAGUUGUUUGGGAAUGCAGCUCAAAAUGGGUGGUAAAUUCCAUCUAAAGCUAAAUAUUGGCGAGAGACCGAUAGCGAACAAGUACCGUGAGGGAAAGAUGAAAAGCACUUUGGAAAGAGAGUUAAACAGUACGUGAAAUUGUUGAAAGGGAAACGCUUAAAGUCAGUCGCGUUAUUCAGAACUCAGCCUUACUUUUGUUUGGUGUAUUUUCUGUUUGACGGGCCAGCAUCAAUUUCGAUCAUUGGAAAAGGGCCAGAGGAAUGUGGCACCUUCGGGUGUGUUAUAGCCUUUGGUCGCAUACAAUGGUUGGGAUUGAGGAUCUCAGCAUGCCUUUUGGCCGGGGUUCGCCCACGUUCAUGCUUAGGAUGCUGGCGUAAUGGCUUUAAACGACCCGUCUUGAAACACGGACCAAGGAGUCUAACAUGCCUGCGAGUAUUUGGGUGGAAAACCCGAGUGCGCAAUGAAAGUGAAAGUUGGGAUCUUUGUCAUGGGGAGCACCGACGCCCGGACCAGACCUUUUGUGACGGCUCCGCGGUAGAGCAUGUAUGUUGGGACCCGAAAGAUGGUGAACUAUGCCUGAAUAGGGUGAAGCCAGAGGAAACUCUGGUGGAGGCUCGUAGCGAUUCUGACGUGCAAAUCGAUCGUCAAAUUUGGGUAUAGGGGCGAAAGACUAAUCGAACC
RNAcentral lists this ribosomal RNA (913 nucleotides) under Hyphoderma moniliforme. Its description in RNAcentral is "eukaryotic LSU rRNA". It matches the Rfam family "Eukaryotic large subunit ribosomal RNA", at positions 41 to 941 of the family's 3401-position model. The record is from RNAcentral. Lineage: Eukaryota; Fungi; Basidiomycota; Agaricomycetes; Polyporales; Hyphodermataceae.